Molecule: RNA transcript, 3297 nt
Organism: Linepithema humile (Argentine ant)
Lineage: Eukaryota; Metazoa; Arthropoda; Insecta; Hymenoptera; Formicidae
Gene name: 116 kDa U5 small nuclear ribonucleoprotein component
Source: RefSeq, a predicted model, not a curated record
GUUUUAAUUUAUAUAAUGAAUGAUACAAUUAUAUUUGUUUUGAAUAUUCCAUCAAACCUAUUGUUUAUAUAAACAAGAUAGACGUUGGAAACACCGAUAAACAUUGGAAAUUAAAUUUACACAAGUAUCAAAAUGGAUGCUGAUCUAUAUGAUGAGUUUGGAAAUUAUAUUGGUCCUGAUUUGGCAUCAGAGAGUGAAGAUGAAAAUGAAUAUGGUAAUGUUGGUGACGAUGCCGAGGACAGAGAUCGAUCUGAUGAAGAAAUGGAAGAAGAUAAGGAUGAGUUACGAGAGCAAGGAGAACAAGGAUCUUCUAUGGCAGUUGUAUUACAUGAAGAUAAACGAUAUUAUCCGAGUGCAUUAGAAGUAUAUGGACCUGAGGUAGAAACACUUGUGCAAGAAGAAGAUGCCCAACCAUUAGAUAAACCAUUGAUAGCACCUACCAGAAAACCAAAGUUUCAAAUAAAGCAACAACAGCUUCCUGAAACAACAUACAGCAUUGAAUUUUUAGCGGAUAUGAUGGAUGCGCCGCAUCUAAUUAGAAAUGUGGUUUUGCUAGGUCAUUUGCAUCAUGGCAAAACCACUUUGGUCGAUUGUUUGGUACAACAAACGCAUCCUUAUUUACACAAUGUAACCGAUGAAAAACCUUUAAGGUAUACAGAUACGUUGUUUACCGAGCAACAGAGAGGCGUUUCCACAAAAGCUACUCCCGUCACUCUUCUGUUACAAGACGUCAAAUCUAAAUCAUAUCUUUUGAACAUAUUUGAUACACCAGGCCAUGUGAAUUUCUCCGACGAGGCUACAGCCGCAAUACGCCUGUCAGACGGUGCGAUAUUAAUUGUCGACGCGGCGGAGGGUGUAAUGCUGAACACCGAACGUCUGCUGAAACAUGCGCUCCAAGAAAAGCUCGCUUUAACAAUCUGUAUAAACAAGAUAGAUCGUUUAGUCUUGGAGUUGAAACUUCCGCCUACUGAUGCCUACUACAAGCUGCGGCAUAUCAUUGAGGAAAUCAAUGGAUUGAUAGCAUUAUACUCGGACACCGAGAAUCCUACCUUUGUUUCACCGGCUGUCGGAAAUGUCUGCUUCGCCAGUUCGGAGUACAAUGUGUGCUUUACUCUAAAAUCGUUUGCCGCACUCUAUGCCAGGAACUAUCCUGGUCUUAACGCCAAUGAAUUCGCCAAACGACUCUGGGGCGAUAUUCAUUUCAAUCCUAAGACGCGAAAGUUCACCAAAAAGCCGCCACAUAAUACGGCACAACGAAGUUUCAUUGAAUUCAUCUUGGAGCCUUUAUAUAAGAUAUUCGCACAGGUUGUUGGCGAUGUGGAUACAACGUUACCCGAUGUUCUGGAUGAGCUCGGUAUACGAUUAACCUCUGAAGAGAUGAAGAUGAAUAUACGACCACUAUUGAGACUCGUUUGCACGCGAUUUCUGGGAGAUAUGUGCGGAUUAGUCGACAUGUGUGUCACUCAUGUACCUAGUCCACUAGCGCACGCUCCGGCUAAAGUACAGCACGUUUAUACGGGUCCAAUUGAUUCGCCACUCGCGCAAGACAUGGUCAACUGUGAUCCGGACGGAAGAUUGAUGAUUCACAGUACGAAGAUGUAUCCGACUGAAGAUUGUACUCUAUUCGUGGUACUUGGCAGAGUAAUGUCCGGUACAUUGGAAGCGGGACAGCGCGUUCGCGUGUUAGGCGAAGCGUAUUCGCGCACGGACGAAGAAGAUUCACGCGUUCUCACAGUGGGCAGAUUGUGGAUCAGUGAAGCGCGUUAUUCCAUCGAACUAAGUCGAGUACCUGCGGGCAAUUGGGUCCUCAUUGAGGGUAUUGAUCGCCCUAUUGUAAAAACCAGCACCAUCACGGAUCCCAAUAAUUCGGAAGAGUUGCAUAUCUUUCGUCCGCUCAAAUUCAACACGCAGAGUGUGAUCAAAAUCGCCGUUGAGCCAGUCAAUCCGUCCGAGCUGCCGAAGAUGUUGGACGGGUUGCGAAAGGUAAACAAAAGUUAUCCUUUAUUAGGAACACGGGUGGAAGAGAGCGGCGAGCACGUCGUGCUGGGAACUGGUGAACUUUAUCUUGACUGCGCGAUGCACGAUCUUCGUCGCAUGUAUUCCGAAAUUGACAUAAAAGUGGCCGACCCAGUAGUCGCCUUCGCAGAAACUGUAGUGGAGACCAGCUCUCUCAAAUGCUUCGCUGAAACACCUAAUAAACGAAAUAAACUGACAAUGAUAGCGGAGCCGCUGGAAAGGGGUCUUGCUGAAGAUAUAGAGGCGGAGCAUGUGCGCAUCACGUGGAACAAGAAGAGAUUGGGAGAAUUCUUCCAAACAAAGUAUGAUUGGGAUUUAUUGGCAGCUCGAAGCAUAUGGGCAUUCGGGCCUGAUUCUACAGGACCUAACAUUCUAGUGGAUGAUACUUUACCUUCCGAAGUAGAUAAAACACUGUUAAAUAGUGCGCGUGAUGCCAUUAUUCAGGGCUUUCAAUGGGGAACACGCGAAGGACCGUUGUGCGAAGAGCCGAUUCGGAAUGUCAAAUUCAAGAUCCUUGACGCAGUCAUCGCGCAGGAACCGCUACAUCGAGGAGGUGGUCAAAUUAUUCCUACCGCUCGACGUGUCGCAUAUUCUGCUUUCCUUAUGGCGACUCCGCGACUGAUGGAGCCAUACCUGUUUGUCGAGGUACAAGCGCCUGCAGAUUGCGUAUCCGCCGUUUACACGGUAUUGGCGAAACGGCGAGGUCACGUGACGCAGGACGCUCCGGUUCCGGGUAGUCCGUUGUACACGAUUAAAGCGUUUAUACCAGCGAUUGACAGUUUCGGCUUCGAGACAGAUCUCCGAACGCAUACUCAAGGACAAGCGUUCUGCCUGUCUGUGUUUCACCAUUGGCAAAUCGUGCCUGGAGAUCCUCUAGACAAAAGCAUCACCAUCAGACCAUUGGAACCGCAACCGGCCACUCACUUGGCCAGAGAGUUCAUGCUGAAGACACGAAGACGCAAGGGUUUGUCCGAGGAUGUGUCGAUCAAUAAAUUCUUCGACGAUCCCAUGUUACUCGAAUUGGCUCGGCAGGAUGUGCUGCUAAAUUAUCCCCUUUAAUAAAUUAACAACGCAGUGCCUUUUCCUUGUUCUCUCAUCCUUAAAUCCGAUCGCCAAGCGAAGAACGACACAGAUAUAGCAUCACAGAAAUUGUACUAAACGUAAGCAGAUAUAGCAUCACAGAAGCGUACUAAACAAGAGAAAGAAUAUCAAAAUUCCUACAAAAAAAUAUAUACAUAUAACAUCGCGAUUAUGCAUUAAAAAUUAAGAUAAUUCGGAAAA